GCGGUCGUGGCGAAACUGGCAGACGCGCUAGCUUGAGGGGCUAGUGGUAGAAAUACCUUGGAGGUUCGAGCCCUCUCGACCGCA
Molecule: transfer RNA, 84 nt
Filed under: Pirellula sp.
Lineage: Bacteria; Pseudomonadati; Planctomycetota; Planctomycetia; Pirellulales; Pirellulaceae
Also listed under: 3 other names
Description: tRNA-Leu
Rfam family: tRNA
About the family: Transfer RNA (tRNA) molecules are approximately 80 nucleotides in length. Their secondary structure includes four short double-helical elements and three loops (D, anti-codon, and T loops).
Source: RNAcentral